UAUUUUUCAUUGUACUGCUAGUAACAUAUUGUCGUAAAUAAUAAUUACUCAUCUGAAAUGGUGGUGGACACACCCUAUAUUUCGCAGGUGCGCAUGACAUUCUGUUAAUGUAGGUAUGUUGUUUUUUUCUUCGUAAUUUAAACCAUUCGGAUUGUGUAAAUGUAUAAAAAGUAAAAAAAAACUACCACGACAAGAUUCGAAGUAAAUGAAAACACUUACCUACGUAAUUUUCGCUUGAGAUUUGAUAUUCCAUAUAGUAGUAUAAUAAAUUGGUAAAACAUAAAAUCUAUAAUAUUCACGCAUGUUAAGAAAUUGUUGUAAGCGACAAGUUGGGAAGUUAUAUAAGCUAGUUAUUCACUCAUAACUAGCUAUAUUUAAUUUUUAUAGUGAAAGCUACAAAUACUCAUUGCAAUCAAGAAUAAAUUCCGAGGGGAACUCGGUAGGCUGAGAAGGUUAUAAUAUAGUACAUUUUUUCUCUCAACAUCCAAGGUAUCCCAGAAAUUCGCAAAAAUGUAACCGACGCGCCGCGUAUCGUUAUAUUUUGACAUCAGUUUUAGGUUUCAAAAUAAAAGUAAAGGUUCUAAAUACAACUAUAAAUAACGAGAACUUUGCACGUUUGCAAAUUAUGUUUAGGCGACUUUGGUAAUGAAAACAAUUUUUCAAAUAAAUUAUCAUCAGUAGGAAAAUCCGCGUUUGUUAAGCUAAGUACGGUAUACAAAAAAAAAAAAAUCUAAGCGUUUAUAAUACAACUAAAAAAUGCGUUUUCCUAAAGGAAAAAACCACAUGUUGGUAAUACUAUUUGUAACGCGAUUUCUUCGCUACACUGGAAAUCUAAAAGACCAAGGGAACCACCAAUGGCUAUCGUCGGUUGUAUUGUCUAUAGAUUAACAUUCGGGUCCGUUGAGGUUUCACCGAUCCGAGAGGAAAUUUCAUUCGGUACACUGUGGCGGUCCGCACGAAGAUUGUGGAAGUCGCGGUAAUAACCGACAGCAGCGGCCGAUGCGGUGCAGUUUUCAAUGAACACUGAUUAUAAUGUACAUCCGAGAUAAUAAUCCGCAUCAAUCAUAAAUCACACUGUAAUAUGAGUGCACCUGUACAAUAUAUUAUAAUAUUUUCUUAUAUUAUACGUACUGGUCCGGGACCGGGAUAUUUCCGGAGCACGCUCACAAGUUGCACGCAGGAAAUUCGAAAGAAGAGAAACACGACAAACGUUGCCCGCUAUCGCCCGAUGCCGAUGUUGCUGCUGCUGGACCUUUCUCUUUAGGCUUAUUGCAUUUUUUUUUUUCUCUCUCUCUGCUUUACUGCCUGUAUGUAAUAAUAUUAUAAUGCAAAGAAAAACGAUC
Cinara cedri is the source of this 1343-nucleotide non-coding RNA. The record is from the annotation of a GenBank genome assembly. NCBI's taxonomy places the organism in Eukaryota, Metazoa, Arthropoda, Insecta, Hemiptera, Aphididae.